CUGUCAUUAAUACCGCAAACGUUUAGCUAUUAUAUUGUUAGAGCUAUGUAGGCUCCUGUGGAAGGUCUUCACCUUAACAAAUUGUAUGAGUAUGUAGUCUGAUAUGGCCAAGUGCCAGAUUUAUUGAGAUAUUUGAAAACUUUCAACAACGGAUCUCUUGGCUCUCGCAUCGAUGAAGAACGCAGCGAAAUGCGAUAAGUAAUGUGAAUUGCAGAAUUCAGUGAAUCAUCGAAUCUUUGAACGCACAUAGCGCCCUUUGGUAUUCCUUAGGGCAUACCUGUUCGAGCGUCACUGCUAACUUCCUCACAAAUAUUGUGGUCUUGGUUGCUGUAGAUUGUGGGUAUAUUUAGUACAUAUGCUCACGAGAUACUCUGCUAAAAUUCAUCAGGUGGAUACCAGGUAUAAAUAACAGACUUUAUAAAUGUCUACAGGAUAUGAAUUAGUUGUUUAGUAUAUCUGAUACUGCUAUCAU
RNAcentral lists this ribosomal RNA (472 nucleotides) under uncultured fungus. Its description in RNAcentral is "eukaryotic LSU rRNA". The stretch from base 138 to 291 matches the Rfam family "5.8S ribosomal RNA". The record is from RNAcentral. Lineage: Eukaryota; Fungi.